ACUCCUACGGGAGGCAGCAGUGGGGAAUAUUGCACAAUGGGCGCAAGCCUGAUGCAGCCAUGCCGCGUGUAUGAAGAAGGCCUUCGGGUUGUAAAGCACUUUCAGUCGUGAGGAAGGUAGUGUAGUUAAUAGCUGCAUUAUUUGACGUUAGCGACAGAAGAAGCACCGGCUAACUCCGUGCCAGCAGCCGCGGUAAUACGUAGGGUGCAAGCGUUGUCCGGAUUUAUUGGGUUUAAAGGGUGCGUAGGCGGGCUAUUAAGUCAGUGGUGAAAUCCGAGCAGCUUAACUGUUGAUGUGCCAUUGAUACUGGUAGUCUUGAGUACAGAUGAGGUAGGCGGAAUUUGACAGUGUAGCGGUGAAAUGCAUAGAUAUUGUCAAGAACUCCGAUAGCGAAGGCAGCUUACUGGGCUGUAACUGACGCUGAUGCACGAAAGUGUGGGGAUCAAACAGGAUUAGAUACCCUGGUAGCGAGUAG
RNAcentral lists this ribosomal RNA (475 nucleotides) under uncultured bacterium. RNAcentral describes it as "bacterial SSU rRNA". It matches the Rfam family "Bacterial small subunit ribosomal RNA", at positions 335 to 799 of the family's 1533-position model. The record is from RNAcentral.